GACGAACGCUGGCGGCGUGCUUAACACAUGCAAGUCGAACGGAAAGGCCCUGCUUUUGGGGGGCGCGCGAGUGGCGAACGGGUGAGUAACACGUGAGUAUCCUGCCCUUGACUUUGGAUAGCUUCAGGAAACUGGGGCUAAUACAGGACAGGAGCUCCUGACGACUGGGGGGGGUGGGAAAGUUUCGGCGGUUGGGGAUGGACUCGCCGCUUAUCAGCUUGUUGGUGGGGUAGGGGCUUGCCAAGGCUUGGACGGGAAGCCGGCCUGAGAGGGGGACCGGCCACAUUGCGACUGAGAUACGGCCCAGACUCCUACGGGAGGCAGCAGUGGGGAAUAUUGCACGAUGGGCGCAAGCCUGAUGCAGCAACGCCGCGUGCGGGAUGACGGCCUUCUGGUUGUAAACCGCUUUCGCCUGUGCCGAAGCGUGAGUGACGGUAAUGGAUAAAGAAGCACCGGCUAACUACGUG
Molecule: ribosomal RNA, 467 nt
Filed under: uncultured bacterium
Lineage: Bacteria
Description: partial 16S ribosomal RNA
Rfam family: Bacterial small subunit ribosomal RNA
Source: RNAcentral